Non-coding RNA from Bacillus sp. FJAT-26390, 408 nucleotides. It matches the Rfam family "Bacterial RNase P class A". Rfam says of the family: Ribonuclease P (RNase P) is a ubiquitous endoribonuclease, found in archaea, bacteria and eukarya as well as chloroplasts and mitochondria. Its best characterised activity is the generation of mature 5'-ends of tRNAs by cleaving the 5'-leader elements of precursor-tRNAs. NCBI's taxonomy places the organism in Bacteria, Bacillati, Bacillota, Bacilli, Caryophanales, Bacillaceae. The record is from Rfam.
AAAGUUUGACAGACAAUCGCUGGCGGCCUUGUUGCCGCGAGAGGAAAGUCCGGGCUCCGCAGGGCAGGAUGCUGGAUAACGUCCAGUCAGCGCGAGCUGAAGGAUAGUGCCACAGAAAUGGACCGCCGAUGGCCGGCUUUAGAGCCGGUACAGGUAAGGGUGGAACCGUGGUGUAAGAGACCACGAGGAGCAUAGGUGACUAUGUUCCUGGUAAACCCCAUCUGGAGCAAGACCGAGAGGACGCCGCAGCCCCUAAGCUGCAGCCUUAGCCUGAGGCGCGUCCGGGUUGGUUGCUGGAGCCGUAUAGCAAUGUGCGGCCUAGAUAGAUGAUUGUCGCUUCAUCGUGGGAGGGUCGUUCCCGUUUGGACCACCAGAAGUACAGAACCCGGCUUACGGCAAACUUUCCGC